RNAcentral lists this ribosomal RNA (252 nucleotides) under uncultured bacterium. RNAcentral describes it as "partial 16S ribosomal RNA". It matches the Rfam family "Bacterial small subunit ribosomal RNA", at positions 524 to 775 of the family's 1533-position model. The record is from RNAcentral.
UACAGAGGUCUCAAGCGUUGUUCGGAUUCAUUGGGCGUAAAGGGUGCGUAGGUGGCGCCGUAAGUCAGGUGUGAAAUCUCGGGGCUUAACCCCGAAACUGCAUUUGAUACUGCGGUGCUCGAGUACUGGAGAGGAGAUUGGAAUUUACGGUGUAGCAGUGAAAUGCGUAGAUAUCGUAAGGAAGACCAGUGGCGAAGGCGAAUCUCUGGACAGUUACUGACACUGAGGCACGAAGGCCAGGGGAGCAAACGG